AGUUACUCUGUGCCUCUCAGUUAUUAUUCAUAUCUUGACUGACUUAGACAAGGCAACGACAACUUUCUGCAAUGGUUUGAACACACUGAUUUGAAACAUCUAUUUCUUAGUAGAAUUGUUAACAAAUCAUAUCAGAUGCUGUUUCAAAUCACCUCAGUCAGAGAAUUGUUUUCUGUUUCUUUGGAGGCAAUGUAACAUUCAAAUGUAUUUUAUCUGACUGACAUUUGAUUUAAAACAAAACAAGGAAUUAGGCACCCCUGCCUUAUCCUAGUAAGCUACUCUCAAGUAACAUUAAACUCCAUUUAGGAUUGUGGUAGGGUGGACUGUAAAGUUUCUCAAUUUCAUCUCAACUUUCAGAGACUCAAAGGGGUGGCCACCCUGAGAUGUUCCAGGGCCCUUGAAUGCUGUGACAGGGUCAAUGCAAUCAUCAAGGACACAACCUUUAGGAUGCACUCUUUGUUCCUGAUCCCGCCGGGAAUCUCCGAGGCCUCGACAUCUGGAUAAAAAGCCAGACCUCAAAGACUCCCCUCUGCCUGAGGCCGAUGAAGUUCUAUUCACGGACGGGGGCAACUUCAUGCAGGAAGUAUGAAGGCCCUUCAAAGUGUACAGAAGAAGAUUUGGUCCUGCGUUUGUGCUGCCCGCUCAGCCCCAGGGGAGGGACUUCCCCAUCAGUUUCAGCCUGGGGACUCUGUGUGAAUCCAGAAAUUCACUUCCAAGGGAAUAAAACCCAAAUGGAAAGAACCCUUCACUGUCUACCUGAUGACACCCACUGCAGUUAAAGUAGACAGCAUCCCAUCGUGGAUUCAUCACUCCCACGUGAAAGCAGCACAAGAGUGGACAGCUCAGGAAGAUGGGCCCUUAAGACUAAGACUCAAGCAUACAUAAAUCUAACCCUCUGUUUCUUCCUUUCUCCCUCUUUAGCCCAGGCAUACAGAAACAUACACUGACCUAGAGUAUAGGAGCUUAUAGUAACCUAGACCAGUGACAUCAUUACCCAGAACAUCACCAGCCACGGUACUCCAGAGAUCCGAGUAAACUUGUGCUGUCUUGCCUGAGAUCCCCUCGCCAUCGCAAUGGCUGGACACCACCUUGGAUCGGGAUCCUUCCUAGGCGGAGGAGCAUACUUAGGCUACAAGGAGGGGACCCGGCUGUGGCAUAUUAUCAGCUGAGAAAAGCCUCUUAGAGAUAGAACUCUAUAUUUGUCCUCAAGGACAUUACCUAGGGACAUCUAGCCACAUAGGUAAUAUGGGACUUGGCCAAGGCCAAUUUUCUUAUACUAACUGGGGUUGUGAGACUAUUUCCACUAUAGAUAAUUAUAAAAAACAGAAUGAUAAUCAUAUUAGAUUAAUAAGAGCGCCAAGCCCCUCCACAUGCUCUCUUGGGUCUUGCAACCCUAUCAUAAUCACCAUCAAAACUGGUAGCCCUGGGGGACAACACUAUUGGCUCACGAGACAGACACGGGGUAUCAGAUUAUAUAAAACCGGGUAUGAUUCAGGAUUAUAUUUUACUAUACAGGUUAAGCACCCUCCCAGGAAUGCUAACCCUAUAGGACCCAACAAACCACUUCUAGUUCUGGGACUACCCCAAAGUCUUACACCUAAGAAAACUUCUGUUUCUAGAGCAACUCCAACUCCAGCUCUGGCCCCUCUAAGUAGUAGCCUAACAGCUAUUAAACCCAGGCAUUCGACCAGCCACAACCAGAACCAGAAGGAACAUCAAUAACUAUGCUAACAACAAUACACAAGAUCUUAAAUAAGACCACCCCAGGCAUCGACAAGAUUGCUGGUUGUGCUUAAACCCAAAACCUCUUUACUAUGUUGAGGUAGGAACUCGCCUAAACUUAACUAAGCUCAGCAGACUGGAACUUCAAGUUGAUUCACUAGCAGAAGUAGUCCUCCAAAAUAGAAGAGGUUUAGAUUUAUUAUUCUUCGAACAAG
Molecule: long non-coding RNA, 1937 nt
Organism: Pteropus alecto (black flying fox)
Lineage: Eukaryota; Metazoa; Chordata; Mammalia; Chiroptera; Pteropodidae
Exons: 4
Source: RefSeq, a predicted model, not a curated record